Molecule: ribosomal RNA, 385 nt
Filed under: Eophreatoicus namimminya
Lineage: Eukaryota; Metazoa; Arthropoda; Malacostraca; Isopoda; Amphisopidae
Description: partial 16S ribosomal RNA
Rfam family: Bacterial large subunit ribosomal RNA
Source: RNAcentral
AACAGCCGCAGUAUACCUAACUGUGCAAAGGUAGCAAAAUAAUUUGUCUUUUAAUUGGAGACUGGAAUAAAAGGUUUGACGAGGAAAUAUCUAUCUCAAAAAUUUAUUAUAAAUUAACAUAUAAGUAAAAAGGCUUAUAUAUACCAGCAAGACGACAAGACCCUAUAAAACUUUACCUUUUAAGACCAAAUCCUAGAAUGUUUCAAACAAAGGGUUUAACUGGGGCAGUAUUUAUAUAAUUUCUAACUAUACAAAAUUUACCAUUCAUAAAUGAAAUAAAUAAAUCUUACAUAAAACACAAAAAAAAGUUACUUUAGGGAUAACAGCAUAAUAUUCUUAGAGAGUCCAUAUCGACAAGAGUGAUUAUGACCUCGAUGUGAAUUGG